Molecule: ribosomal RNA, 819 nt
Filed under: Pseudomonas sp.
Lineage: Bacteria; Pseudomonadati; Pseudomonadota; Gammaproteobacteria; Pseudomonadales; Pseudomonadaceae
Description: bacterial SSU rRNA
Rfam family: Bacterial small subunit ribosomal RNA
Source: RNAcentral
GCAGUCGAGCGGAUGAAGAGAGCUUGCUCUCUGAUUUAGCGGCGGACGGGUGAGUAAUGCCUAGGAAUCUGCCUGGUAGUGGGGGAUAACGUUCCGAAAGGAACGCUAAUACCGCAUACGUCCUACGGGAGAAAGCAGGGGACCUUCGGGCCUUGCGCUAUCAGAUGAGCCUAGGUCGGAUUAGCUAGUUGGUGAGGUAAUGGCUCACCAAGGCGACGAUCCGUAACUGGUCUGAGAGGAUGAUCAGUCACACUGGAACUGAGACACGGUCCAGACUCCUACGGGAGGCAGCAGUGGGGAAUAUUGGACAAUGGGCGAAAGCCUGAUCCAGCCAUGCCGCGUGUGUGAAGAAGGUCUUCGGAUUGUAAAGCACUUUAAGUUGGGAGGAAGGGCAUUAACCUAAUACGUUAGUGUUUUGACGUUACCAACAGAAUAAGCACCGGCUAACUUCGUGCCAGCAGCCGCGGUAAUACGAAGGGUGCAAGCGUUAAUCGGAAUUACUGGGCGUAAAGCGCGCGUAGGUGGUUCGUUAAGUUGGAUGUGAAAGCCCCGGGCUCAACCUGGGAACUGCAUCCAAAACUGGCGAGCUAGAGUACGGUAGAGGGUAGUGGAAUUUCCUGUGUAGCGGUGAAAUGCGUAGAUAUAGGAAGGAACACCAGUGGCGAAGGCGACUACCUGGACUGAUACUGACACUGAGGUGCGAAAGCGUGGGGAGCAAACAGGAUUAGAUACCCUGGUAGUCCACGCCGUANACGAUGUCAACUAGCCGUUGGAAUCCUUGAGAUUUUAGUGGCGCAGCUAACGCAUUAAGUUGACCGC